Molecule: ribosomal RNA, 253 nt
Filed under: uncultured bacterium
Lineage: Bacteria
Description: partial 16S ribosomal RNA
Rfam family: Bacterial small subunit ribosomal RNA
Source: RNAcentral
UACGUAGGGUGCAAGCGUUAAUCGGAAUUACUGGGCGUAAAGCGUGCGCAGGCGGUUAUGUAAGACAGGUGUGAAAUCCCCGGGCUUAACCUGGGAACUGCAUUUGUGACUGCAUAGCUAGAGUACGGUAGAGGGGGAUGGAAUUCCGCGUGUAGCAGUGAAAUGCGUAGAUAUGCGGAGGAACACCGAUGGCGAAGGCAAUCCCCUGGACCUGUACUGAUGCUCAUGCACGAAAGCGUGGGUAGCAAACAGG